AGCCUGCCCAGUGACCAAGUUAAACGGCCGCGGUACCCUAACCGUGCAAAGGUAGCGCAAUCACUUGUUCUUUAAAUGAGGACUAGUAUGAACGGCAUCACGAGGGUUACACUGUCUCCCCACUCCACUCAGUGAAACUGAUCUCCCCGUGAAGAAGCGGGGAUAAAAAUAUAAGACGAGAAGACCCCAUGGAGCUUUAAACUCAGUAUCAUCUGCUACCACAAUAGCCAAGUAACAAUGCAGCAAUGACAACUAGUUUUUGGUUGGGGUGACCGCGGAGUAAAACAAAACCUCCGCAACGAAAGGAACUAACAACCUAAUCUAAGAGUAACAGCUCUAAGAAUCAUAUAAAUUGACCUAACUGAUCCAAUUACUUGAUCAACGAACCAAGUUACCCUGGGGAUAACAGCGCAAUCCAUUUAAAGAGCUCAUAUCGACAAAUGGGUUUACGACCUCGAUGUUGGAUCAGGGUAUCCCAGUGGCGCAGCAGCUACUAACGGUUCGUUUGUUCAACGAUUAAA
RNAcentral lists this ribosomal RNA (521 nucleotides) under Microhyla rubra (red narrow-mouthed frog). RNAcentral describes it as "partial 16S ribosomal RNA". It matches the Rfam family "Bacterial large subunit ribosomal RNA", at positions 1856 to 2592 of the family's 2925-position model. The record is from RNAcentral. Lineage: Eukaryota; Metazoa; Chordata; Amphibia; Anura; Microhylidae.